AUUUAAAAAGUUUAUUAUAAUAAUGUUUCCUGGUGAAUUUGGAUAAAUUAAUAAUAAUUAAAAGUAAUUUAAUCGAAUCUUAAUAAAAUUUUUCAAAAUCUAUUUUAUGUUUAAAAAUUACAUAAAUUUUGAAAAAUUUUAAAUCAAAUAAAAUUAAGUUUUAUCUAUUUAAAUCUGAUAAAAAGAUAAAUUUUUAAUAAGAUUAAUUUAUUUAUCUAUGUUAAUUUAUGAUUUAAUUAAUAAGUAUACACAAAAAUUUUAAUUAUUUGUAUUAAAUUAUUAUAACUAAAUUUUAAUAUAAUUGUUUCUCAAAAACAUUUUAUAAAUUUUUAUAUAAAUUGCUGCUCAAUGAAUUUUAUAUUGCAGUUUUAGCGUGAUUACUCAAAGGUAGCAAAAUCCAUUGAUCCUUAAUUAGGUUACUGUUUGAAUGAAUAUAUAUAUUAAAAUUAUUAAACUUUUAAUUACUUAAAUUUUUAAAAAUUUGAAAAUAAAUUUAAAUUGUUUUCUACGAGAAGACCUUAAGAUUUUUAUAAAAAUAAUUAGAUAUUUAAUUUGGGAAUUUCUUAAAAUUAUAAAUAUAAUUUUUACUAAAAACAAUUAAAAUACCUUAGGGAUAACAGCUGAUAAAUAUUUCUUUGAUAAUUAUCUUUGACAUUAAUCUGACCUCGAUGUUGACUUAAAAAAUGUUAAAUUUAAAAUAUUUAACUUAAAGAUUGUUCAUCUUAAAUUAUUAAAUGAGUUGAGUUCAAAACACUGAGAAGUAGUUUGGUUUCUAUAGAAAUAUAUUUUACUUAAAUUUAAAAGUACGUAAGGAUAUUAAAUUUUUUAA
RNAcentral lists this ribosomal RNA (829 nucleotides) under Agamermis sp. BH-2006. RNAcentral describes it as "large subunit ribosomal RNA". Lineage: Eukaryota; Metazoa; Nematoda; Enoplea; Mermithida; Mermithidae. The record is from RNAcentral.